Long non-coding RNA from Helianthus annuus (common sunflower), 646 nucleotides. RefSeq lists it as uncharacterized. NCBI's taxonomy places the organism in Eukaryota, Viridiplantae, Streptophyta, Magnoliopsida, Asterales, Asteraceae. The transcript is spliced from 3 exons. The record is from RefSeq and is a predicted model, not a curated record.
AAACUGGUCAAUCAUCCGAAGCUACCGAAGGGGGAUAGUAUAAGUUUUUUGCUCACCUAAUAUGUUUGGCCUUUUAUGUGUUUGGUCAAUCAGACGGUAAUGGAAGACAGAGUAGAGACGAUGGUUACAUAGACGACCAAAUAUCACCAGCUGCAGUAACUCACGGUCGCCGCAGAACGUUGGUUCUCCAUUGCCGUAUAUGGCCGCUGAUUAGCGCAUAAUCGCAAUGGACGCCACCGCCAGAGGCCGUCAUGGAUAGCCACAACCUUCGUUCUCAUGUUAUAAUCAAUAUACAUAGCAUCGCAGCCUAGAGGUGGUCCAAUAUCGGUUGCUGAGUUCAUGGAGGAAUACCUGAUAAAUCCGAAGGCUGGUUUCUUAUAUCCAUGGCGUGCAAAAGGUGGCUUUAUAACCUCUCCUGAAGUUCUUGAAUUUCUUGAGUUGUGUAGAUGUCUUUAUGAGGAGUACUUGGUCGUUUAUGAUGUGAAAGCGGAAAUGGGUGAGAUGAGGAAGUUUGCUGGUCGGCCCUCUUCUUUUUAGUAUUGAAGUACUUAUAAGAUAUUACAAGUGGCAAUUUUGAACCUUUUACUUAUGACUACACUAAGCAAAUGAUAUUUCGUGCAACUUAAGGAUCAAUGGAAUGGCAUCU